UACGGAGGGGCUAGCGUUGUUCGGAUUUACUGGGCGUAAAGCGCACGUAGGCGGAUCGUUAAGUCGGGGGUGAAUCCUGGAGCUCAACUCCAGAACUGCCUUCGAUACUGGCGAUCUUGAGUCCGGAAGAGGUGAGUGGAACUCCUAGUGUAGAGGUGGAAUUCGUAGAUAUUAGGAAGAACACCAGUGGCGAAGGCGGCUCACUGGUCCGGUACUGACGCUGAGGUGCGAAAGCGUGGGGAGCAAACAGG
This 251-nucleotide ribosomal RNA is filed under the name uncultured bacterium. RNAcentral describes it as "partial 16S ribosomal RNA". It matches the Rfam family "Bacterial small subunit ribosomal RNA", at positions 524 to 776 of the family's 1533-position model. The record is from RNAcentral.